UACGUAGGGAGCAAGCGUUGUCCGGAAUCAUUGGGCGUAAAGGGCGUGUAGGCGGGAAGGAAAGUCAGAUGUGAAAUCCCUGGGCUCAACCCAGGAACUGCAUUUGAAACUCCCUUUCUUGAGUGUCGGAGGGGAAAGUGGAAUUCCUGGUGUAGAGGUGAAAUUCGUAGAUAUCAGGAGGAACACCGGUGGCGAAGGCGGGUCUCUGGGCCAUUACUGACGCUGAGGAGCGAAAGCGUGGGUAGCGAACAGG
This 253-nucleotide ribosomal RNA is filed under the name uncultured bacterium. Its description in RNAcentral is "partial 16S ribosomal RNA". It matches the Rfam family "Bacterial small subunit ribosomal RNA", at positions 524 to 776 of the family's 1533-position model. The record is from RNAcentral.